This 440-nucleotide ribosomal RNA is filed under the name uncultured bacterium. RNAcentral describes it as "partial 16S ribosomal RNA". It matches the Rfam family "Bacterial small subunit ribosomal RNA", at positions 338 to 795 of the family's 1533-position model. The record is from RNAcentral.
CCUACGGGGGGCAGCAGUGGGGGAUAUUGCACAAUGGGGGAAACCCUGAUGCAGCGACGCCGCGUGUGGGAAGACGGUCCUCUGGAUUGUAAACCACUGUCCCCAGGGACGAAGAUGACGGUACCUGGGGAAGAAGCCCCGGCUAACUACGUGCCAGCAGCCGCGGUAAUACGUAGGGAGCGAGCGUUGUCCGGAAUCACUGGGUGAAAAGGGAGCGUAGGCGGGACUGCAAGUUGGGGGUCAAAGCUACGGGCUCAACCGGAAGCCGCUCUGAAAACUGGAGGUCUUGAGUGAAGUAGAGGCAGGCGGAAUGCCUAGUGUAGCGGUGAAAUGCGUAGAUAUUAGGAGGAACACCAGUGGCGAAGGCGGCCUACUGGGCUUUUACUGACGCUGAGGCUCGAAAGUGUGGGGAGCAAACAGGAUUAGAUACCCUUGUAGUC